RNAcentral lists this ribosomal RNA (969 nucleotides) under Massilia sp. 557-1. RNAcentral's name for it is "bacterial SSU rRNA". It matches the Rfam family "Bacterial small subunit ribosomal RNA", at positions 487 to 1459 of the family's 1533-position model. Lineage: Bacteria; Pseudomonadati; Pseudomonadota; Betaproteobacteria; Burkholderiales; Oxalobacteraceae. The record is from RNAcentral.
UAAGCACCGGGCUAACUACGUGCAGCAGCCCCGGUAAUACGUAAGGGUGCAAGCGUUAAUCGGAAUUACUGGGCGUAAAGCGCGCGCAGGCGGUUUUGCAAGUCUGUCGUGAAAGCCCCGGGCUCAACCUGGGAAUUGCGAKGGAGACUGCAAGGCUUGAAUCUGGCAGAGGGGGGUAGAAUUCCACGUGUAGCAGUGAAAUGCGUAGAGAUGGGGAGGAACACCGAUGGCGAAGGCAGCCCCCUGGGUCAAGAUUGACGCUCAUGCACGAAAGCGUGGGGAGCAAAACAGGAUUAGAUACCCUGGUAGUCCACGCCCUAAACGAUGUCUACUAGUUGUCGGGUUUUAAUUAACUUGGUAACGCAGCUAACGCGUGAAGUAGACCGCCUGGGGAGUACGGUCGCAAGAUUAAAACUCAAAGGAAUUGACGGGGACCCGCACAAGCGGUGGAUGAUGUGGAUUAAUUCGAUGCAACGCGAAAAACCUUACCUACCCUUGACAUGUACGGAAGCUCGGAGAGAUCUGAGUGUGCUCGAAAGAGAGCCGUAACACAGGUGCUGCAUGGCUGUCGUCAGCUCGUGUCGUGAGAUGUUGGGUUAAGUCCCGCAACGAGCGCAACCCUUGUCAUUAGUUGCUACGCAAGAGCACUCUAAUGAGACUGCCGGUGACAAACCGGAGGAAGGUGGGGAUGACGUCAAGUCCUCAUGGCCCUUAUGGGUAGGGCUUCACACGUCAUACAAUGGUACAUACAGAGGGCCGCCAACCCGCGAGGGGGAGCUAAUCCCAGAAAGUGUAUCGUAGUCCGGAUCGCAGUCUGCAACUCGACUGCGUGAAGUUGGAAUCGCUAGUAAUCGCGGAUCAGCAUGUCGCGGUGAAUACGUUCCCGGGUCUUGUACACACCGCCCGUCACACCAUGGGAGCGGGUUUUACCAGAAGUAGGUAGCUUAACCGCAAGGAGGGCGCUUACCA